RNAcentral lists this ribosomal RNA (206 nucleotides) under uncultured bacterium. RNAcentral's name for it is "partial 16S ribosomal RNA". It matches the Rfam family "Bacterial small subunit ribosomal RNA", at positions 328 to 544 of the family's 1533-position model. The record is from RNAcentral.
ACGCUCGACACCUACGGGGGGCAGCAGUUGGGAAUAUUGGACAAUGGAGGAAACUCUGAUCCAGUGACGCCGCGUGAAGGAAGAAGGUCUUCGGAUUGUAAACUUAUUUUGUCAGGGAAGAAAAAAUGACUGUACCUGAAGAAAAAGCACCGGCUAACUACGUGCCGCAGCCGCCGGUAAGUACUGAGCGGGCGUGGCGAAGGACG